UACGUAGGUGGCAAGCGUUGUCCGGAAUUAUUGGGCGUAAAGCGCGCGCAGGCGGCCUUUUAAGUCUGAUGUGAAAGCCCACGGCUUAACCGUGGAAGGUCAUUGGAAACUGGAAGGCUUGAGGAUAGAAGAGGAAAGUGGAAUUCCACGUGUAGCGGUGAAAUGCGUAGAGAUGUGGAGGAACACCAGUGGCGAAGGCGACUUUCUGGUCUAUAACCGACGCUGAGGCGCGAAAGCAUGGGGAGCAAACAGGAUUAGAUACCCUGGUAGU
This 271-nucleotide ribosomal RNA is filed under the name uncultured prokaryote. RNAcentral's name for it is "partial 16S ribosomal RNA". It matches the Rfam family "Bacterial small subunit ribosomal RNA", at positions 524 to 794 of the family's 1533-position model. The record is from RNAcentral.